GAUGAACGCUGGCGGUGUGCCUAAUACAUGCAAGUCGAACGAGAUCUUCGGAUCUAGUGGCGGACGGGUGAGUAACACGUUGGUACCUGCCCCUAAGUGGGGAAUAACUGCCCGAAAGGGUGGCUAAUACCGCAUAAUCCCGCAAGGGUAAAGUCGCAAGACGCUUAGGGAGGGGCCCGCGUUCCGUUAGCUAGUUGGUAGGGUAAUUGCCUACCAAGGCGACGAUGGAUAGCUGGAUCGAGAGGUUGACCAGCCACACUGGGACUGAGAUACGGCCCAGACUCCUACGGGAGGCAGCAGUAAGGAAUCUUCCACAAUGGACGAAAGUCUGAUGGAGCAACACCGCGUGCAGGAUGUCGGCCUUCGGGUUGUAAACUGCUUUUACCAGAGAUGAUAAUGACAGUAUCUGGGGAAUAAGCCCCGGCUAACUCAGUGCCAGCAGCCGCGGUAA
RNAcentral lists this ribosomal RNA (451 nucleotides) under uncultured bacterium. RNAcentral describes it as "partial 16S ribosomal RNA". It matches the Rfam family "Bacterial small subunit ribosomal RNA", at positions 28 to 523 of the family's 1533-position model. The record is from RNAcentral.